GAUGAACGCUGGCGGCGUGCCUAAUACAUGCAAGUCGAGCGAACAGACCAGGAGCUUGCUCCUCUGACGUUAGCGGCGGACGGGUGAGUAACACGUGUAUCACCUACCUAUAAUGCUGGGAUAAUUACGGGAAGCCGGAGCUUAUCCCGGAGAAUAUCUUGAACCGCAUUGUGCAAUGGUGAAAGUCGGUUUUUGUGGCUCGUAUAGCUGGAUCCCGGCCGCAUGAGCUAGUUGGUAAGGUAAUGGCUUACCACGGCGACGAGGCGUAUCCGAGCUGAGAGAGUGGUCGCCGACACGGGAACUUAGCCGCGGUCCAGACUCCUGCGGGAGGCACCAGUAGGGAAUGUUACGCAAAGGUCGAGAGCCUGACAGAGCAACGCCACGUGAGUGAUGACGGUCUUGGGUUCGUAAAGCUCUGUUACUAGUGGAGAACAAAUGUGUAAGUAGCUAUGCACGUCUUGACGGUACCUAAUCAAAAAGCCACGGCUAACUACGUG
Molecule: ribosomal RNA, 497 nt
Filed under: uncultured bacterium
Lineage: Bacteria
Description: partial 16S ribosomal RNA
Rfam family: Bacterial small subunit ribosomal RNA
Source: RNAcentral